Molecule: non-coding RNA, 45 nt
Filed under: Schistosoma mansoni
Lineage: Eukaryota; Metazoa; Platyhelminthes; Trematoda; Strigeidida; Schistosomatidae
Source: RNAcentral
AUCCAGCUGACGAAUCCUAAAUAGGACGAAACGCGCGUUUUGGAU